CAGUCGCCACGGUAAUACGAAGGGGGCUAGCGUUGCUCGGAAUGACUGGGCGUAAAGGGCGCGUAGGCGGAUUGGAUAGUCAGGCGUGAAAUUCCUGGGCUCAACCUGGGGACUGCGCUUGAGACGUCUGGUCUAGAAUUUGGAAGAGGGUCGUGGAAUUCCCAGUGUAGAGGUGUAAUUCGUAGAUAUUGGGAAGAACACCGGUGGCGAAGGCGGCGACCUGGUCCUUGACUGACGCUGAGGCGCGAAAGCGUGGGGAGCAAACAGGAUUAGAUACCCCUGUAGUCCCUGUCUCUUAUAC
This 301-nucleotide ribosomal RNA is filed under the name uncultured bacterium. RNAcentral describes it as "partial 16S ribosomal RNA". It matches the Rfam family "Bacterial small subunit ribosomal RNA", at positions 509 to 807 of the family's 1533-position model. The record is from RNAcentral.